RNAcentral lists this ribosomal RNA (292 nucleotides) under uncultured bacterium. RNAcentral's name for it is "partial 16S ribosomal RNA". It matches the Rfam family "Bacterial small subunit ribosomal RNA", at positions 505 to 796 of the family's 1533-position model. The record is from RNAcentral.
GUGUCAGCCGCCGCGGUAAGACGAACUGCCCAAACGUUGUUCGGAAUCACUGGGCUUAAAGGGCGCGUAGGCGGCGAAUCAAGUCAGGGGUGAAAUCCGGCAGCUCAACUGUCGAAGUGCCUUUGAUACUGAUUUGCUCGAGGGAGAUAGGGGUCUGUGGAACUUCCGGUGGAGCGGUGAAAUGCGUUGAUAUCGGAAGGAACGCCGGUGGCGAAAGCGACGGACUGGAUCUCUUCUGACGCUGAGGCGCGAAAGCUAGGGGAGCAAACGGGAUUAGAUACCCCAGUAGUCC